This 2170-nucleotide long non-coding RNA is filed under the name Gallus gallus (chicken). RNAcentral's name for it is "lncRNA (ENSGALG00010004789.1)". Lineage: Eukaryota; Metazoa; Chordata; Aves; Galliformes; Phasianidae. The record is from RNAcentral.
ACUCCUCAUUUAAUUGUAUGAAUUCCAACUGAAAUCAGUGGGGAGAUUAAACAGGAGUUGGGAGAUUCAAUACUCUGCUGAGUUCUGGCCACCAAUAUCAGUGCACUGCUUAACUCAUAAACUAUAUUUACAAUUUUUGCUCAUAUUCAUCCACUGACACGUUUCAGGUGCUUAUAGAUGCUUCUAAUAGUGUGCCGUAAAUCACUGUAAAGAACUGAAAUACAAUUUUUAGAGUUCAAAUGGGAAUACUCAAUAGAUGUGACUGUUUGCAGGAUCAGGACCUAUUUUCCAGAACAGGUGCUUAAAUGAAAUGAUGAAGUCAUUAUAGUUGAGGAACUUAAUACAGAGAAAUAGCUCACAUUAUUCUAGUACCUAUAGGGCUCUGGCAUAAAUGCCUAAAUUAAAAAUUUGAGAACUUAUUAGGGGGGAGGAUUAGAUUUGGCAUUUCAAUUGGAGAGGAUUUUGUGGAUGUGGGGAAAAAAAAUAACUUCUUUUUUUGUGCAUGUAGAAGAAUUUUUUACCACCUGGAAAAGUUGCAUGGUUUUGACAUCACUUCCAGUUUUUUUCUGCUUUUGAAUUUGCUCCCUUUCUAUGCCACAAGCCUCCUUAGUGCUACAAAAAUCAGUUUGCUCUCAGAACAUGCAUGUGUUCAGGAAAGUACAAAAUGUCUAUCGGAAAGGCAGUAUAGUGCACUCUUUGUGGUCAGAGUGUGGGAAACUCCAUUUAGCUCAUUUUCAUGACAGAAGCACUGAACCACAUUAACACAGAAGGAAGAUGUAGAAAACGUUUAAUGGUACUGGAACGCUUUGUUUAUUCUUAGCUAAGCCUACACGGCUUCCAAAUGAGCCCACUAUGCAGUGUGACUACAUAAGGUUAACUGCUGGGUACAUUAAGCAAAAUACUCUCUCUUAGAUGCUUGUUUAAGUCAUCAUUUCUGACCAUUUAUCAGACUUAAUGUGCUACAGCAGACUGCAGGUCACAAUGUGUCAUUUCCAAAAGAACUUUGACUUUUCCCUUUCCAGGGUCAGGAACCGGUAAUGUUUAGCUGAAAUCACUGCCCUGCACUUCAUAGCUUCCAGUGAGGCUUUGGAGAGUUGCUCUUGCUAGACCAGAGUGCUGGUUCCAAGUAUUCAGUACUAAAAUUGGAGGACACUGUUUAAGUACAUAUAGACAGCUGUGUUUCAAUCUAGCUGCAGAAUAUCCCACUUCAUUUUUGAGAUCAUGAGAGAUACAGGAUGACUGAUUUCCCAAAAUGAUAGUGGGAUAUGUUAGAUAAAAAUGCCAAAAACAAGCACCCUCACUUGACAAAGGUUAUUUGUAUGGAAUUCAAGAAAAACUGUGUAUUUGGGGGUACAAUUUUUAACAUGCCAGGUGAGUAUUUCUUCUAUUCCUUAGUUCCAGUUAAAACAAUGUGGCUACUUAUCCAAUGAAUUCUGUGGCUAAGUGAAUUUGCAACAAAAAAAAAAUGUGCUUGAUGCCUUUACUCUCCUUUUUAAUCUAGAAAAUAUGUGGAAUUUUCAGAUCUAUAUGCUUUCUUCAGGUUGGUCUCACGUUGAUGGAGAUGCAACAAAGAUAAAACAGAGACCCUGAGUCCUACUCAUGUCCCUACGAUUGUCUCUGUAUUUUAUCCAUCAACAUCUGAAUGCUAAUCACUCAAAAAUCCUGAGAGCGGAGACAGACUCCAAGGGCUUCCCCUCAGAAGGCCUAGAGUCACAGUCUGCCUUGUGCUUUCUGCGAUGCCCCUUCAGCGUCAUGUCCCUUCAUUCAUAGCUGGACAGUGUGAGCCAAAGUGGAGGAGAUGUCUUUUCAGCCACACCUGGUAGAAGAAAUCUGCAACCGUGGCACUUGACACAGAUCCUCUUUGACGUUGAACUGACAAGUUACUUGCAGAGUUUGAAUGGAGCAAAGGGAAAUUUUUCCAGAGGAAGCUACAAAUUUGCAGCAACUGCCAAGGAGGUGUGCAGCCAGUGCAAAGGUGUUACAUCCAGAGGUGCUAAGUACCUGAGCUCCUUCCUGACACCAGUGGGGCAGAAUGCUCUGCAUCUCUCUGAAGCUGGGUAUUGGAGUUUGCAUGGAGCUGCCAGUAUUAAUGGAUUCAAAAGAGGCUAAAAGGCUUUGACUGUCCCUUCAUGGCAUGACCGAGGCUGAAACUCCACAAGAUGAUAAAGAU